Molecule: ribosomal RNA, 412 nt
Filed under: Mogibacterium timidum
Lineage: Bacteria; Bacillati; Bacillota; Clostridia; Peptostreptococcales; Anaerovoracaceae
Description: bacterial SSU rRNA
Rfam family: Bacterial small subunit ribosomal RNA
Source: RNAcentral
GAUGAACGCUGGCGGCGUGCCUAAUACAUGCAAGUCGAGCGAGAAGCUUGGAAAUGACGCUUCGGUUGAUUUUCCAAGCGGACAGCGGCGGACGGGUGAGUAACGCGUAGGCAACCUGCCCCUGACAGAGGGAUAGCCAUUGGAAACGAUGAUUAAAACCUCAUGACACCGUAGUAGCACAUGCUACAUCGGUCAAAGAUUUAUCGGUCAGGGAUGGGCCUGCGUCUGAUUAACUGGUUGGUGAGGUAACGGCUCACCAAGGUGACGAUCAGUAGCCGACCUGAGAGGGUGAUCGGCCACAUUGGAACUGAGACACGGUCCAAACUUCUACGGAAGGCAGCAGUAGGGAAUCUUGCACAAUGGGCGAAAGCCUGAUGCAGCAACGCCGCGUGAAAGGAUGAAGGCCCUUCGG